UGGGGAAUAUUGCACAAUGGGCGCAAGCCUGAUGCAGCCAUGCCGCGUGUGUGAAGAAGGCCUUCGGGUUGUAAAGCACUUUCAGCAGUGAGGAAGGGUGUGUAUUUAAUAGAUACACAUUUUGACGUUAGUUGCAGAAGAAGCACCGGCUAACUCCGUGCCAGCAGCCGCGGUAAUACGGAGGGUGCGAGCGUUAAUCGGAAUUACUGGGCGUAAAGCGCAUGCAGGUGGUUUGUUAAGUCAGAUGUGAAAGCCCGGGGCUCAACCUCGGAACUGCAUUUGAAACUGGCAGGCUAGAGUACUGUAGAGGGGGGUAGAAUUUCAGGUGUAGCGGUGAAAUGCGUAGAGAUCUGAAGGAAUACCGGUGGCGAAGGCGGCCCCCUGGACAGAUACUGACACUCAGAUGCGAAAGCGUGGGGAGCAAACAGG
RNAcentral lists this ribosomal RNA (429 nucleotides) under uncultured bacterium. RNAcentral's name for it is "bacterial SSU rRNA". It matches the Rfam family "Bacterial small subunit ribosomal RNA", at positions 355 to 776 of the family's 1533-position model. The record is from RNAcentral.